This 497-nucleotide ribosomal RNA is filed under the name uncultured bacterium. Its description in RNAcentral is "partial 16S ribosomal RNA". It matches the Rfam family "Bacterial small subunit ribosomal RNA", at positions 28 to 507 of the family's 1533-position model. The record is from RNAcentral.
GAUGAACGCUGGCGGCGUGCCUAAUACAUGCAAGUCGAGCGAACGGACGAGAAGCUUGCUUUUCUGAUGUUAGCGGCGGACGGGUGAGUAACACGUGGAUAACCUACCUAUAAGACUGGGAUAACUUCGGGAAACCGGAGCUAAUACCGGAUAAUAUUUUGAACCGCAUGGUUCAAAAGUGAAAGACGGUCUUGCUGUCACUUAUAGAUGGAUCCGCGCUGCAUUAGCUAGUUGGUAAGGUAACGGCUUACCAAGGCAACGAUGCAUAGCCGACCUGAGAGGGUGAUCGGCCACACUGGAACUGAGACACGGUCCAGACUCCUACGGGAGGCAGCAGUAGGGAAUCUUCCGCAAUGGGCGAAAGCCUGACGGAGCAACGCCGCGUGAGUGAUGAAGGUCUUCGGAUCGUAAAACUCUGUUAUUAGGGAAGAACAUAUGUGUGAGUAACUGUGCAUAUCUUGACGGUACCUAAUCAGAAAGCCACGGCUAACUACGUG